UGAUAAGGAUCAAAAGGUCAAAAAGCUAUCAUGCUUGCAUGAAAUGCUUUUUGACUUUGGGAUCCGCCAAACAUGAGGAAGUAGCAAUUUACGCAGUAAAUUAGCGGAUUCCGAAUGCUUGUAGAAUUGCGAGAGCUUCGAAGAAACGAAGCAAUUCGUAUCAU
RNAcentral lists this small RNA (164 nucleotides) under uncultured Butyrivibrio sp. RNAcentral describes it as "Clostridiales-1 RNA". It matches the Rfam family "Clostridiales-1 RNA". Lineage: Bacteria; Bacillati; Bacillota; Clostridia; Lachnospirales; Lachnospiraceae. The record is from RNAcentral.